GAUGAAGAACGCAGUGAAAUGCGAUACGUAAUGUGAAUUGCAAAUUCAGUGAAUCAUCGAGUCUUUGAACGCACAUUGCGCCCCCUGGUAUUCCGGGGGGCAUGCCUGUCCGAGCGUCAUUGCUGCCCUCAAGCACGGCUUGUGUGUUGGGCCCCGUCCUCCGAUACCGGGGGACGGGCCCGAAAGGCAGCGGCGGCACCGCGUCCGGUCCUCGAGCGUAUGGGGCUUUGUCACCCGCUCUGUAGGCCCGGCCGGCGCUUGCCGAUCAACCCAAAUUUUUAUCCAGGUUGACCUCGGAUCAGGUAGGGAUACCCGCUGAACUUAAGCAUAUCAAUAAGCGGAGGA
Molecule: unclassified non-coding RNA, 345 nt
Filed under: soil metagenome
Description: partial contains 5.8S ribosomal RNA, internal transcribed spacer 2, and large subunit ribosomal RNA
Rfam family: 5.8S ribosomal RNA (bases 1-119)
Source: RNAcentral